UCCCUGGUGGUCUAGUGGCUAAGACUCCACACUCCCAAUGCAGGGGGCAUGGGUUCGAUCCCCAGCCAGUGAA
This 73-nucleotide transfer RNA is filed under the name Bos taurus (domestic cattle). It matches the Rfam family "tRNA". From Rfam's summary of the family: Transfer RNA (tRNA) molecules are approximately 80 nucleotides in length. Their secondary structure includes four short double-helical elements and three loops (D, anti-codon, and T loops). Further hydrogen bonds mediate the characteristic L-shaped molecular structure. tRNAs have two regions of fundamental functional importance: the anti-codon, which is responsible for specific mRNA codon recognition, and the 3' end, to which the tRNAs corresponding amino acid is attached (by aminoacyl-tRNA synthetases). tRNAs cope with the degeneracy of the genetic code in two manners: having more than one tRNA (with a specific anti-codon) for a particular amino acid; and 'wobble' base-pairing, i.e. permitting non-standard base-pairing at the 3rd anti-codon position. Lineage: Eukaryota; Metazoa; Chordata; Mammalia; Artiodactyla; Bovidae. RNAcentral also lists the same sequence under 5 other names. The record is from Rfam by way of RNAcentral.